AGUGAACGCUGGCGGUAGGCCUAACACAUGCAAGUCGAACGGCAGCACAGUAAGAGCUUGCUCUUACGGGUGGCGAGUGGCGGACGGGUGAGGAAUACAUCGGAAUCUACUUUUUCGUGGGGGAUAACGUAGGGAAACUUACGCUAAUACCGCAUACGACCUACGGGUGAAAGCAGGGGAUCUUCGGACCUUGCGCGAUUGAAUGAGCCGAUGUCGGAUUAGCUAGUUGGCGGGGUAAAGGCCCACCAAGGCGACGAUCCGUAGCUGGUCUGAGAGGAUGAUCAGCCACACUGGAACUGAGACACGGUCCAGACUCCUACGGGAGGCAGCAGUGGGGAAUAUUGGACAAUGGGCGCAAGCCUGAUCCAGCCAUACCGCGUGGGUGAAGAAGGCCUUCGGGUUGUAAAGCCCUUCUGUUGGGAAAGAAAAGCAGCAGGUUAAUACCCCGCUGUUCUGACGGUGCCCAAAGAAUAAGCACCGGCUAACUUCGUG
This 492-nucleotide ribosomal RNA is filed under the name uncultured bacterium. RNAcentral's name for it is "partial 16S ribosomal RNA". It matches the Rfam family "Bacterial small subunit ribosomal RNA", at positions 29 to 507 of the family's 1533-position model. The record is from RNAcentral.